Molecule: ribosomal RNA, 444 nt
Filed under: uncultured bacterium
Lineage: Bacteria
Description: SSU rRNA
Rfam family: Bacterial small subunit ribosomal RNA
Source: RNAcentral
AGAGCGAACGCUGGCGGCAGGCCUAACACAUGCAAGUCGAGCGCCCCGCAAGGGGAGCGGCAGACGGGAGAGUAACACGUGGGAACGUACCCUUUGGUUCGGAACAACACAGGGAAACUUGUGCUAAUACCGGAUAAGCCCUUACGGGGAAAGAUUUAUUGCCAAAGGAUCGGCCCGCGUCUGAUUAGCUUGUUGGUGAGGUAACGGCUCACCAAGGCUACGAUCAGUAGCUGGUCUGAGAGGAUGAUCAGCCUCACUGGGACUGAGACACGGCCCAGACUCCUACGGGAGGCAGCAGUGGGGAAUAUUGGACAAUGGGCGCAAGCCUGAUCCAGCCAUGCCGCGUGGAUGAUGAAGGCCCUAGGGUUGUAAAGUCCUUUCGACGGGGAAGAUAAUGACGGUACCCGUAGAAGAACGCCCGGCUAACUUCGCGCCAGCAGCCGC